This 330-nucleotide ribosomal RNA is filed under the name Triticum aestivum (bread wheat). Its description in RNAcentral is "partial small subunit ribosomal RNA". Lineage: Eukaryota; Viridiplantae; Streptophyta; Magnoliopsida; Poales; Poaceae. The record is from RNAcentral.
AUGACUCCAUGGAAACUCAUGUUGCUAGCACUGAGUCUGGACAUCGGAAUGCCCAUCCCUUUUAACGUCUCAGCAUAUAAUAUGUUCAAACCAUUGCCACCAUCCAUCAAGACUUUGGUCAGUCGAGUGCCUUCAACCACUGGGUCGACCACCAGAGCUUGCCAUAUUCACCUCAGGGGUGGCAAUAUGCGUUGGGUGAUCGGACUGGUCGAACGUGAUGGCAGUCUGAGACCAUUUCAAAUAACUUGGUGUUGUCGGAGCAACCAUAUUCACCUCUCGGUUGAUGACUUUCAGUCGACUUUUGCUCUCAACAUCAGCAAAAAUCAUUAG